This is a long non-coding RNA of Lemur catta (Ring-tailed lemur), 683 nucleotides long. RefSeq lists it as uncharacterized. The record is from RefSeq and is a predicted model, not a curated record. Lineage: Eukaryota; Metazoa; Chordata; Mammalia; Primates; Lemuridae. The transcript is spliced from 3 exons.
GGGAGGCCGCGGCCGGGCUUCCACUAGCCCGUUCCGCUGGCCGGGGAGGGGAAGGCGCCCGCCCGCCCGGGACGCUGGGGCCCAGGGUCCUUGUGCUAGAUCCCCUUCUCUCUCGCAGGCUUCCGCGGCUCUGUCCCUGUUCCCCUCUCGUCACUGGUCCAAAGCAGUGUUGUACGAGGUUUGGAGCAAACAGAACCAAGUUGAAAUUACUUGCUCACCAUGUAAUUGUUAAACACCUAGGGCAGGUGUUUAACUUUAUUGAACCUCAGGUUCCUCACCUGGAAAAUGGGACUACUAAUACCUCGGUGUCUUUGUGAAGAUUGUAAAGCCUUGCCUGGCACGUGGUGAGCCCCCCAAACACACUGAACCGGGAAGGAUGCAGUCGUGAGUGGAGGGCGCCCGCUGGUUAGGCCCAAAUGUGGUCCAUCCACACAGGGAAGUAUUAUUCAGCCACAGAAAGGAAGGAAGUACUGAUACAUCCUCCAACGUGGAUGAACCUUGAAAUCACGCAAGUGAAAGAACCGAGACACAAAAGGCCAUGAGUUCCAUGCAUCUUUUCCCCUGAGGGAUGUGAAGAUUUUCCAGAUCAUUCCAAGCAGGUUGGAGUUAAGAGAACAAGUUCCUACUCAGCUAUAAGAAACAAUGUAUUUUCCUGGAAAGAGCUGGAGCCCAUUCUACUAAGU